AUAGGGUUUAGGGUUUAGAGUUGAUGUUUUAGGGUUUAGAUUUGAAGGUUUAGGGUUUAGGGUUUAGAGUUGAUGUUUUAGGGUUUAGAGUUGAUGUUUCAUGGUUUAGGGUUUAGAGUUGAUGAUUUAGGGUUUAAAGUUGAUGUUUUAAGUUUAAAUUUAGGGUUUAAGGUUUACGUUUAGGGUUUAGAGUUGAUGUUUUAGGGUUUAGAUUUGAAGGUUCAGGGUUUAGGAUUUAGAGUUGAUGUUUCAGGGUUUAAGGUUUAGAGUUGAUGUUUCAUGGUUUAGGGUUUAGAGUUGAUGUUUUAAGUUUAGAUUAGUUAACCAUAUGUUUUUUUUUGCCAAAGUUAAUCAAAAGGUUAUAAAUGUCUUUUACCCUUCAUUAAAGAUGAGGGUAAAAAUGGUUAGUGUAAACAUGAAAAGUGGUACUUUGAAAAAUGUAUUUUUGACAAUUUUCCAAUAUUAAAUUAUAUCUAUUUAAUUUAUACUAUCUAUAAAUCCAAUGGAUCAUCUAUUGUUUAAAUCCAAUUAUUGAUACUCGAAUAAAAAUUUCUGGUAGGUCCAAAAUUUAAAU
Molecule: long non-coding RNA, 574 nt
Filed under: Brassica napus (rape)
Lineage: Eukaryota; Viridiplantae; Streptophyta; Magnoliopsida; Brassicales; Brassicaceae
Description: long non-coding RNA (BNAP_LNC012978)
Source: RNAcentral